RNAcentral lists this long non-coding RNA (1469 nucleotides) under Ananas comosus (pineapple). Its description in RNAcentral is "long non-coding RNA (ACOM_LNC041518)". Lineage: Eukaryota; Viridiplantae; Streptophyta; Magnoliopsida; Poales; Bromeliaceae. The record is from RNAcentral.
GGUAGUGAAUAAAAUUUUCUAUCAAAAAUUCAACCUAUUCCGAUUCUUUUUCACUGCUAAACUAGCAAAUAUCUCAUACCGGCACAAAAAUUAUCAAUUUUGUGAGCUUUUGAUCGUAAGGUAAUGUAUCGAAAAAUUACAAAAUUUGAUUUCUAGAAGUUUUAAAUGCUCUAGAUAAUAUUCAACGGUAUGGAUCGUCGAUUUGGAAGCUCUAUCAUCGAAAACAACUUAUGAAUGUAAAGACGAUCGUACUCAUAAGAGUAUAGUAGCCCGACGCUACAUAUAUAUAUAUAUAUAGAUAUAUAUAGAGAGAGAGAGAGAGAGAGAGAGAGAGAGAGAGAGAGAGAGAGAGAGAGAGAGUUGGGCUAGGGCUACUAUAUUCUUAUGAGUAUAGAGCCCUUCAUACAUAUAAGUUGUUUUCAAUGAUGGAGCUUCCGAAUUGACGAUCCACUCCGUUAAAUAUGAGCUAGAGUAUUUGAUACUUUAGAAAAUAAAUUUCAUCAUUUUUGAAAUCAUAAUAAAGUUCAUCAAGAAGAUAUAAAAUGAACAGUCAAAAUCGAACAACGUCUUAAAAAUGGAAGAUCGAAUCCUUCAAUUUAAGAUCGGAGUUAUUGAUCUUAUCUAUGUAGUGAAUAGAAUUUUCUAUCAUCAAAAAUUCAACCGAUUUUGAUUCUUUUACACCGUUAAACUAGCAAAUAUUCCAUACCGGCCGUUAAAAAUUGUCGAUUUUGUGACCUUUUGAUCGUAAGGUAAAUGAUGUCGAAAAAUUAUAAAUUUUGAUUUCUAAACGUUUUAAAUGCUCUAGAUAACGUUUAACGGUGUGGAUCGUCGAUUCGGAAGCUCUAUCAUCGAAAACAACUUAUAAGUACGAGGACGAUCGUACUUAUAAGAGUAUAGUAACCGAACUAUAUAUAUAUAUAUAUAUAUAGAAUUAGGCUGGAAUACUAUUAAUAGUAAAACGCUCGUUUUGCUAUCAAGUUUUUAACCCUUGGAUGAAAAAUUGUAGGGUUAGGAUGAUAUUAGUCGGUUAGAGUUGAGUGGUCCCCCUAGGGUUGAGUGGUCNNNNNNNNNNNNNNNNUGAUCUACACUAUUGAAAGUAUUUAGAAACUAAAUUUCAUAAUUUUUCAAUAUCAUUUACCUAUCAAACAAGUAGUCUAAAAUUGAACGACCGAAAAUAAAAAUCUCAUGAAAAAUGAUGAUAAAAGAUUUAAAUUCAAGAUCAGAUAUACUGAUCUUACUCUAAAUAGUGAAAAUUCUAUAAAAUUUUCAUCGCAUUUGGAUUGUUUUACAGCGUUAAACUCACAAACACACCACAUCGGCUAUUAAAAUUGUCAAUUUUGAGAUCUUUUGAUUACUAGUCAAAUGAUGUCGAAAAAAUCUGAAAUUUAGUUUUCAAAUACUUUCAAUAGUAUAGAUCAAGUCUAAUGGAGCCAAUCGUCGAUUUGGAAGCCGCAUCAUCGAAAACAACU